UACGUAGGGUGCGAGCGUUAAUCGGAAUUACUGGGCGUAAAGAGUGCGUAGGCGGUUCUUGAAGUCCGCUGUGAAAGCCCCGGGCUUAACCUGGGAAUGGCAGUGGAAACUGGAGGACUUGAAUUGAGCAGAGGGGGGUGGAAUGCCGCGUGUAGCAGUGAAAUGCGUAGAGAUGCGGCGGAACACCGAUGGCGAAGGCAGCCCCCUGGGCUGAGAUUGACGCUCAGGCACGAAAGCGUGGGGAGCAAACAGG
Molecule: ribosomal RNA, 253 nt
Filed under: uncultured bacterium
Lineage: Bacteria
Description: partial 16S ribosomal RNA
Rfam family: Bacterial small subunit ribosomal RNA
Source: RNAcentral